Long non-coding RNA from Solanum dulcamara, 1012 nucleotides. RefSeq lists it as uncharacterized. The transcript has 3 exons. NCBI's taxonomy places the organism in Eukaryota, Viridiplantae, Streptophyta, Magnoliopsida, Solanales, Solanaceae. The record is from RefSeq and is a predicted model, not a curated record.
UAGAUAAGUCCAAAGAUGACUUAGUAGUCAUCUUAUUUUUCCAUUCCUAGAACUUUCAAGAAAGUUGGAGAAAGAAAGAAGGAAAAAAAUUAAGAGAGGAAAAAUUGGCAUAGCUAGGGAUUUCAUCCCUUGAAAUUUUGUUUCAAAAAUUAUUUCUUCUAGUAUUCCAAGCAAGUUGAAGGCCCUAAUCAACAUAGAGUGAUUGUUGGAACAAGAAGACUAUUCAUUCUUGCAAGGCACAAUUCUAGCCAAGUUGAAGAACUAAGUGGAAAAGGUAAGAUUUUGGAAAGGCCAAGAGUUAAGUGGGGUGACUAAGGAAGCGGACAAGGAUGCCCGGACGCGGGACAUAUGUGGGCGAGCCGACGUUGUUCGGUGAUAUGACUUUUAUUUUCUAUGUAUAUAAAAAAAAAUGUUUUAAAGGAAAGACAAGCAUGCAACAUCCGGCCUCAAAGGCACUCAUAUGUACAGGUUACUCUCUUAUCUCAUUAUAUGUUCUAUGAUUCUAUGAUAUGGUUGUUUCUACCUUAUGUUCUUUAUUAUGCUGAUUUUCAUGCCUUACAUACUCGGUACAUUACUCAUACUGACCCCCUUUUCUUUGGGGGGUUGCGUUUCAUGCCGCGCAGGUACACCCAGACGAGUAAAAGCUAUUAUAAAAGAUGUUCCAGUGGGGUUAGCAACUCCACUUGUUCCUAGAGUGCGACCGAGUUAGAGUAUAUGCAAUAUGAUGUUUCGUUCAAAGUUAGAGACUUUGCAGACAGAGUCGUGAGUAUAGAGUGUCAGCUUUGUAAGUGGCGUCACCAGCCGAUAUGUUAUUAUGUCGUAUGUCACGAGUUUUAUGGGAUGAUAGAUUUUGAAAAUAAUAAUAAUUUGGGAAGCUUAAUUAUAUAUAUUUUUUUAUUUCUUAUUGAUGUAAAAGUCUAAGGAGAUUAAGUAUGUACUAUGAAGCAGCGGGUUCGCUCGGCUCCAAGCAUGGGGUCGGGUGCCCAUCACACCCUAUUAAUAUCAGGGUAUG